RNAcentral lists this ribosomal RNA (72 nucleotides) under Theileria equi. Its description in RNAcentral is "large subunit ribosomal RNA LSU5". Lineage: Eukaryota; Apicomplexa; Aconoidasida; Piroplasmida; Theileriidae. The record is from RNAcentral.
UGGGGUUUUUUUGGUUCGGGAAUUUGACAGGUAUGUAGUUGUGUUUUAAGAUAUUUUUUGCCUGAGUAUAUU